UUUGUAAUUCAAACCUCAACAAUUGAAAACUUUGCUUAGUUUUAACUGCUGUGAAGAAUGAAAAACUUAUCCAAUGACUUGGAUUUUGCAGGACUGUUAAAUGAUGAAGGAACAAAUGAAUUUAUUGUUCAGGACCUCAUUUCACCCACAAAACUGUGCACUGAACUGCCGUCAAAUUUACAGAGUUCACAGAAAAAUGAAACUGUCAUGGAUAGCCAUGAUUGUCAAAAAAACAUUUCAGUUUCUCCGAGUAAUAAUGAAAUUGAAACUCCUCUACUAAAGGUGAAGAAUGUUGCAAGAAAAGGUAGAUUGAUGUCAAUUUCUCCAGUGGUUGAGGAAACUGAUUCUCCCUCGGCAAAUCUUACAAAAAGCAGCAACAGUAAAGAUUGGCUUUUGAGUUCCGGAAACAAGUCAGAAGAUGUUGAACGAAUUUGCAAGUUCAAAAGGCUGCGGAAAGUUGGAGAUAUUGGGGAGAAAAAAAAUUCAAAGGGCACAAUAGAAAAUUCUACAAUCCCUAUCAAAAACCUUAAUAGAUCCUUUUCAGGUACUAGUCCUAAUCAAGUUAAGCAUGGUGAUGGGGCUUGUAGUCAUAUUUGUUGCAUCUAGCUACCCAUUCUGGCCGUGGAAAAAUAUUUAUCUAGCAAAGUAGGUCUGCCUGUUGUUUGUCUUGAAUGGAUGCCUGAGUAUGCUAAAGCUCUAUGAUUGUGAAAUGUUUUGGAAUCAAACGCAAUAUUACUAUCAAUAACACUAAUCAACUUUGCCUGUGUUUAGGUAAAAAGAAGCGAGUUGGCAAUGCCAGGGCCUUCAUUGAGGAGGAAGCUGAGUAAGUUCAUGUUUGAAUGAAAAGUUUAUGCUGCCAGACUUGUUUCUUGAACAGAAUUCUGAUUUCUCAUUAUAACCAUUAGCUGUUUUUCAGAAACUUUUUAUUUAUUUAUGGAUACUUUAAUAUAGAUUCUAUCAUGCAAAGAUGCCGAGUGAAGUAAUUGUUUCCUAGAAAUUGUAAGACACUACUGUUUUCUGAAUGUUCAUGCUGCCUUCUCUGCAUUUUGGGUGUGAUCAGAGUAUCUUCGGAAGCUGAAAUAUCUGAUGACGAGGCAGAUGACCUGGGAAACAGUUCAAAUGAUGAUAGUUUCAUAGAUGACAGGAUAAAUCCAACAGUGGCAAGUGCUGAUUCCAAAGCUAGCAGAGCUGACAUGAUGGCAGUUUACAGGUUUUUGACUCCCUGUCAGUCUAUCUCGUGCACAUGUCCAUGUGUGUUAGGGCUUAAUCUAAGAUAUACAUAUAUAAAAACUGCAGUAUUGGAAUCUGAAAGUUCUAGUUAUCUGUCAAGCUAAGUUGCAUGCUUCAUUUCGUUUUCUAGAUGGUUAUUUUAAUAAUCUCUUCAUAUACUUUCUAUUGGGAUGAAACUGCUGAGUGUUAAAUCUAAUCGAUGUUGUCAUGCCACAGGCGUUCUUUGCUCAGCCAAUCACCAAUGGCAAGGGAAUCUAGUUCUAGUGCCACCUUUACUCCUGAUUACGGGGCGUCUACAAGUAGAAUGAAUGGAAGUGGGAGCUCCUCGGUCAAGACACCUCAAACUGAUUCAGCCAAUCAGUCUGCUGGAAGGGAUUUAGGACCCUUCCAAAUCAACCAAGAGAGGAUCUCUACAGCAAGGCCCUGUACAACCACUGAUUUUAAGAGAGAGAACGAGACAAUAUCAGAAACCAGGAAACGAAAUUCUAGUUUUUGUCAAUCAUCUAUUCCUGUUCUGAACUUAGAGCACAAGUUCUCUUCGCCGUCAGAGGUUCCAGAGAAAGCAUCAUUCCAGCAAGGUCCGGCAGGCGAAAUUGAUGCCAAUGAGGAUAUAUUCUAUGAUGAUUUUUUUGCCACUCUUGAUCUUGAUGCUGUGGAAGCACAAGCUACAUUACUUCCCAAACAACGAUCAGACUUGUCCGUACAAAAUCAGGAUGUGAUUCUAAAAUCAGACCUACAAAGUUCCCCAUCAUUUGAUCUUGGGAUAUUGUAAUGCAGUGAAAAUCUGUCUGGUUCAUCGUAUACCUUCAAAGAAUCGGCGGUAGCCGGCAAUUUGAAAAUACUCUGGAAAGGUAUGAUCUGUCAAACGGUCCAACGUGAGAUAGAGCUGUUGGAAGUGUAGUAUCGGUUCGUUUUAAAAUAUUUUUUUUUAUUUUUAAAAAAUUAUUUUUAUCAUCACAUCAAAAUAAUUCAAAAAUAUUAAAAAAUAAAUUUAAUAAAAAAAUUAAAAUUUUAAUCCAAUGAUGUUUUUGCCUACAGACGAAUGUCUUUACUACUCUCUGACUGAAUAUUCAUUCGCCCUUGGUAUGUUUUAUCCUUCUGACAUAUGAAAGAGUUGGUCUCAGUAAUUCUUGUACUUUUUUAAUUUUAAAAUUGGCUCCAUCAAUUUUUGACAUCUAGAUAGACGAGAUAAAAACACUUUCUCCCUUCUCGCUUAAUUUUUUAUGACAUCAUUAUCUGAUAUGGUUUGGUAUACCAAAUUAGCAUGGCUGUCCAAAAACGUGAAAGCUUUCUCAAAUAAUUUAAAACAACCAUUUAUUGCUUUCAUCUAUAAUAGGAUUUUUUAUAUAAUGGAUAGUUUUAUACUAAUAAAUAUAAAUUUCAUAUUUUAAACACAGAAAAAAAACUUAUACCUUUUAGUAUAGAGUAAUAUUAAUUUUUUUAUUCUUCGUAUUAACAAUCAAAUCAAUUCUUAGCGUUUUAGUUGUUUAGGUAAUACGGUCACAAGUUUGGAUCUGUUCUCUGAGAUUAUAUUAUAUUCGUUCAAAACUAUCGGUUAUUGAAUUAAAAGUAAAAUGGACAACAAGUCUCAAACCAUUUUUCUUGUUUAUGAAUCUUUGUAUUUGACAUGGUAAUUUCGAAUCCAACGCAUAUUUUUGUGCUUAAUUUACAUGGAGAAAAUAAGUUUGAUAUAUACACACACGUAAUACUACAGGGGUGAUAUAAUAGAAAUAGACUAUGUACUAGUCAGUUUCCUGGGAGCUACCACUGUGAACAUUUUGGAAAUUUUAUUAAACUUAGGUAAGCUAGGUAGCUUGAUAUAUUUAUUCAUCAGUCUCACCCAUAGAUCAGGUUGAGUUUUAAAAUAAACGAGGGAAGAGUUGUUUAAUAUAACUCAGCUCACCUGAUAAGUAUAUCUAUAACUUUGUUAGCUCGAUUAAAAUUUAGUUUAAAUUUAAAAACUAAAAAUAAAAAACACUAAUUUAAUAUUUUAAAAAAAUAUUGAAAUAACAAUGUUUUAGAUUAACCCACAUCAAACUAAGUUAAUUUGAUCAACUCAUGAUUCAUAUCAUAAUUCUCAAUUAAUUUAAAAACCUUGCAUUUUGGAAUUUAUUUUCUAGAAUGAAUGAAAUUAUUAAAAAAAAAUGUAUUUUUUCUAUUUAGAAUUCAUUUUCUUAUUAAUGAUCUCUUGAUUGUUCUAAUGAAAUCAUGUUUUUUUUUAAUUAUAAACACUAUGUUUUAAAUAAAAACAUAUGAUCUAAAAGCAAGUUUUUUUAAAAAAAUAUAUAUUUUUUAAUAUUUUGUAUUUGAUUGAAGGAAAAUAAUUAAUAUAAAAUAUAAAAUAAUAUAAAACAUCCAUCACAAAACUUAAAGAAAGUUUUAUUUUCAUGAGCAAUCUUUUAUUUUUUUGUUUUUGCAUGGUAGGUAUAUAGUCAUUGUCGGUCAAAUCCAUCACAAAAAUCCAGAGGCCAAAUUCUUUAAAAGGAAUCUGAUAGAAUAUACUAAAAAGCUUGUAUUUUUGCCUAAUUGUCAUUUCGGUCCCUGCAUGCAUAUUCAGUUUUCAUCGGCAAUAAAAUUGGAUUUGUUUUUGCAAAAUUGAGAUUCGUUUUGACAUCACAAUAAAUCCAUAGAAAACUAAUUAAAUCAAAUUAUCACCCAAAAAUACCAGCUAAUGUAGUGUAUAAGGAAGCAAUUAAAAAAAUUAAGGACUGGAAUAAAAAAUGUUUAAAAGACAAAAUAAAACAUAAAGAAAUGUUUGAAAGUAUUACUCCGCAGCAGGGUAUGUGUGUAGUGAGUUGUGUUGAAAAUGCCACGUAUAAGAAGAAAUAAUGUCUAAAUUGUGUCUGAACUGGUUAAAAUAAUAAUAAUAAUAAUAAUAAUGAUAAUGAUUUAUGAUGUUCCGUGUCUUGUAUAUUGAUAAAAUUAAUAUAUGUGAGGAUGUGAGAUUGUAUGAGAAAUAAAGUAUGUGACAUUGAAAAGAAUUAAAAUGUUGAGGAAAUAAAAUUUUAGGUAUUUAAUUGAAUUGGAUUGUUUGUGAGGUUCUAAAUUAUAUUUAGAAAUACUUGAGUUUGUGAAAAUUGGAUUGUUAAUUUUUUUUUAUUAAUUUUAUUCUUUAUUAUUUAAUUAUUUUAUAAUUCAAGUUGGUUUAAAUUAAUUUUUUUAACUUUUUUUUUAUUGUAUUUUUUAAUUACAUUGUUUAAAUUAACAAUUAAACUAAUAAUUGGAAUCUCAUAUUGUUUUCUCCUUAGCGUUUUUUCAUGUUAAAAUUCUUUUUUUCUGUACUGUGAUGAAUUAUAAUCUGGUUCAAUCAUAUUUUGAAAAUAUAUUAAUUUUUUUAGUUUUAAAUUAUUUUUUGGAUGUUAUUUUGAUAUAAAAAUAUUAUUUUAAUAUAUUUUUUAAAAAAAAACAAUUAAAAUAAAAAUCCUAAAUCUGAAUACCACUGCGCCUCAUAUUUAAUUUAAGCAGGCAAAGGUUUUUGACUUCGUAAUUUACAGGGCCUUUUUUUUAUCCACAUACACUUUUAAUAAAACAAAAUCGUUGAUUUCUGCACUGAUUUUUUUCUCUAAACAACAACUACAACAGAUUCCAAACACGAUGCCGCCGGAAGGGGAGCUCCGACACCCAUCACCGCCACCAACAGAGUCCACCACCACAAUAGACGACGAGGCGGGCUGGGUGUGGGCCCAGAUAAAAGCAGAAGCGAGGCGCGACGCCGAGGCAGAGCCAGCUUUGGCAAGCUACCUAUAUUCGACAAUUCUGUCUCACUCAUCAUUAGAGAGGUCGCUCGCCUUUCAUUUAGGAAACAAGCUCUGCUCUUCAACGCUUCUCUCAACUCUCUUGUACGAUCUCUUCCUCAACACUUUCACUUCAGACCCUGGUCUUCGCGUCGCUGCUGUUGCUGACCUUCGGGCCGCACGUGCUCGUGACCCUGCUUGCGUUUCUUUCUCUCACUGCCUCCUCAAUUACAAAGGUUUCUUGGCUUGCCAGGUAAACUAUUCCUAACUAACCAACUAAAUAACAUUUUUCUUGAUAGUCAUACUGUUUUACUUUCACUUUUAAUUGAUUUAGUUUUAUAAUUUUAUCAGGCUCAUCGAGUUGCUCACAAGCUGUGGAAUCAGUCUCGUAGGCCACUGGCGUUGGCUUUACACUCUCGAAUCUCUGAUGUUUUUGCCGUUGAUAUACACCCAGCAGCCAAGAUUGGCAAGGGUAUACUUUUUGAUCAUGCAACUGGUGUGGUGAUUGGUGAAACAGCAGUGAUUGGUAAUAAUGUCUCCAUUUUGCAUCAUGUUACACUUGGAGGAACAGGGAAAGCCUCUGGGGAUCGGCACCCCAAGAUUGGUGACGGAGUGUUGAUUGGAGCAGGUGCCACCAUUUUGGGGAAUGUAAAGAUUGGGGAAGGAGCAAAGAUUGGAGCAGGCUCAGUAGUGCUAAUUGAUGUGCCCCCUCGAACCACUACAGUUGGAAAUCCUGCAAGGUUAGUGGGAGGGAAGGAAAAACCAACUAAGCAUGAGGAAUGCCCUGGAGAGUCCAUGGAUCAUACUUCAUUUAUCUCUGACUGGUCAGAUUAUAUUAUUUGAUUGGUUUUGCUCCGUACUUGUCUCUUGGUUGGUACUGCAGCUACUUUACUAAUAAUGCUCCUUAUUCGGUUGGUUUUGAGCAGCGUGAUAUGCCUCUUUAUCUGUAAUUAUGCAUGUUUGUAUUGAACAACGACUAUAAUGGAGAACCUUGUCAUAUUUUUAUCUUUUGAGCUCUUCAAUUAUUUGGUGUGGUUUUAGAUUAGCUAUGAUAUAUCCAGAUUCAGUAACAACUAAUUGCAGGUUCAUUUUUUUAACAAUUUUAUUCUUAAGUAGCUAUAGAACUGCAGUAGCAUGCUAAGAGUACGACCUCUAUGGACUAUGAAAUGUAACUUCCAGCUUUAAUUUAUACAGAAAAAAAAAAAAAAAAAACUUUAAACUAUCCAAAAUCUUGAUAAGGUUCUGCUAAACAUAGUAGGCCAAGAGUAGGCCUUUUGUAACAAAAAAAAAAUUGAUGCAUAAAACUAGCUACAGACCUGCAGUAGUACCAAACAUACAAUGUCCUUCUUGAAUGUUUUUCAUUUCAUUAUACUUUAGAUAUUUUUAGCAACCUGGCUGAAAACAGUUCUUUGGAUGCGACUUUGGAUUGUUUGAGCAGGCCCAGUGUUUUCCACUGUUACAUUCUCUACUAAAAACUAUAUGUUUUUUUGCCUGGGAUAGUGACUUUUGUCUCCUAACCAACUGGAGAAAAAUUUAUUCAGUCAACACAGGCAAGGUAGUUAGUUUUCUUAGUGAUUUUUAUUAUUGGUAAUUAAGAUUCCUUUCUGGUUUGAUGUAGAAUCCCAAUGCUUAUGGUUACUAUGACCUCAAAAAAUCAUUGAUGUCAUUCAAACAGAUGAAACAAGCUCUGAGAUCUAAAUGUAUUGAGCAGAUGGUAGAAAUCAUGGAAGGAAUGUGGGAAUCUAAUGAAGCCUAGGCUUGUGUCAUCCAAUGAAGAUCAGACCCUACUAAUACUAAACAUCUCUUUACAACCAAUCUUAGGAUCUUAGUUGAUGAUCUGGAUGCAAAUCUUUGAGCUUUAUUUGUUUCUUUGAAGCAAAAAAGGUUUGCUUACUUGUGUAUAGUGCAGGGGCCAAGGGAUUUUUCUUGCAUAUGAAACUCCUUCUCACAUUAGCCAGUUAAGUUUAAUUGGUCCAUCCUUUUGAAAUUUUCAUAGAUUAUGCUAUCAAAUUUUAUUUUUUGGAGGCUUUAAGGUUAACUUCACUUUGGUCUGGUCACCAUUUCCAUCCCUCCUUAUCUUGGAUUUGUUGUAUAAUUGGCACGUUAAGUUUGAGUUACAAUUGAAAUUUAAUUUAAAGUACAGAUCUUUAAAAUAGAAAACUAAAAAUGAAGGUGAACGCACUCUCUUCUUUUGUGCUUUAUACAGACCUUCAAAGGCCUGUCUUAGAGCAAUUACCAGGGGAGUUGCUGUUGACCGUACUUGUUGAACAUCAAUCUCCUUUCAACUACAGAGAUACAACUCCUUAGCUCCAUACCAGCCUCUCUCCUUGCUGCAGGGAAUCUCUUCAAGAAAAUCUGAGGAAGGUUGUUUCUAUUGUUGCUGCCUGUCCUUGAAUUAAGUCAUUGGGCAUAAGUCAAUGCUGCUCAUGUCUCUCCUGGCCUUACUGCAAUACUGAAAGCUGACAUCUACCCUCUGGCCUCCAUAUGCCAUGGAAAAUGUUGUGGCAUUGAUCUUUUUGUUGCUGCUGUUCUUACAGACCAAGUGAUGAUGCUAUGGAUGGUUGUGUCCAUUUCAGUUUCUAAUAUGCAUCUUAUGAGCCCCAGUUGCAGCGCUUGAUGAUACCAUUUAGGUGGGCUACCUGUGUGAUCUCCACAUUUGAUGGAUUUAUCCAUCAUAACAUGUCCUCUGCUGUAUACCGUUCCUUUUCUCUACUGAGUAUGUGUUUUGUGUCCUUUUCAACUGCUGCAUUGAAGUGGUUGCUGGUUUUGUGUCCGAUUAAUUAAGCCUGCCAGCAUAUAACCAAAAACUUCCCUACAUGAUUUAGUCUGCUCUCUGAUACUAAUAGCCUCUUUAUUUACUACUUCAAUUGCUGGAUUUAUUUGUAUUCUUAUUACACCAGACCUGAGAAAACUCGAGAGGACAAAUACACCAAACACUUGAACACCCAGAAGUAUUGUUAAGGUAACCAAAAAGCCAGAUGCUAGUGCUGAAACUGGUAGUUUGUGCAUUGUGACCUCGAGCAUCAGGAAAUUAUUCGUACUGUGUAGCAAUUCGUGAAGUUUAUUGCUCUAUUUUGUAGUUGUUACUAGCAAUAAGUUACUGGUUUGAGAUGCUCUAUUUAAUAGUCCUGUUUUGUAGUUGUUGGCCAUAACAGUGAAACUGAGAAUAUUAGCAUUGACUGGGACUCCAGGAUGUAAGUUACAGACAAUCUUAUUGGGUUCGUUGUAAAUGUAGCCAUGACAUCUGAAAAUUCUUAUGUUAAAUGCAAAUUGUUCAGAAAAACAGCCGGCUGUCCAGCAUAUCUUUGAUGAAUUUCUAAUGAAUUGCUAGGUUUGCAAUCUCCAAUUUUAUGCCUUGUAUUUCAUUACACUUGAAAGUUUAAUUAUCUUCUGGUGAAUACAAUCGCCAAAUAUGUGGUAGCAGAAACUAAGGAUCCACAAAACUCAAGGACUAUAAUUUUCUCCAAUUUUAGAGAAGUGCAAGGUGAAAAGAUUUUCUUGUGUUCAUUUUUGCUGUAUUGCUAUAGUCUAUAUUUCUCAAUCUUUUGUUGCAUAUUCCUAGUGCUAGAAAAAUUUUCUUGACAUACGGAAGCAAGCAAACAGCAGGGCAAUAAAGAAGCACAUGCAUAAUGGAGGGAUAAAUAGCUUUAGUUUCCAUUGUAGCUCAAGAAUGGUGAGACCUGUUGGAAAGUUCUCUGGUUGUAUCCCUUCUUGUUAAUACUUUUAUCUUCUUAACCUAUAGUUCUGUUACAUUUAUUUCAGAUUCCUCAUAUUUUUAAACCAGAAGUCCAAUUUGUUGAGCUGUCAAUUGAACAAUAUGUUCCUCGUGGAGAGAAAGUGAAGGAUGAUAAUACCAUUCAGACACCAGUUUUCAAAGAAAAUCUAACUGUUACAGAGACUGCUUUACUUGCUAUCCCUAUGUGGAUGUACAUACAUUCAAGACAGUGAACCAGGCUUGCCCAUAGCUUUUUGCCCUUUUUGUCCUUAAGGAAUUAAGUCAUUUUAUCUUGUUUGGUUAUUAUCCCAGAAAACUAAUUUGUGUCUAGAGAGAAUAUACAUAUUUUCAAAAAUAAAAGCUAUAAAAAUAACCUGGCCCUUUUGUCUUCCCUUUUCAUUUUUCAAAAAUAAAAGCUAUGAAUGUAAUUCUGCAAUAUCUAGAUCCUCGCUCCUCAAGAGAAAACAUUGGAUCUGAUAUGGAAACAAUUAUCUGUCAAAAGAUGAAUCUGACCUGACAAGGAGGCCGGCUUCGAUAAUUUGAAAGCAAAGAACAGAACAUGGGAAAUCGGUAAGAUUGUGCCGGUAAGUGACUCAAGACAUCAUCUCUGCGAGCUGAUGAGUUCAGUAACGAUUUCGAAGAUUUUGAGCUAACCCCUCGAUUAACUAAUUGUUCCCGAGCCUCCGAUCAACGACGACGUUCAAUAUCCAUCCAAGAACAAUCCUUGUAACUCAAGCCUCAAACUAUGCGUACUGUUGUGGAGGACGGUCAACUUCUAAGCGCUUACAUGUCCUGUCCUAGAAUUUCUACCAGCGAGGUGAUCAGGGCUGGUUGUUGGGUUAAAUUUUCUUUAAUGUUAAAAAAGAUGUUAAAAAAAAACCAUAAUUAAUUUAAUAAAUUUGAUUGAUUUAAUAAUAUAAUUAUAAAAAAACUAAUGAGAAUAACUAAUAAAAAAAAUAAUUAUCGCCAAUAUUAUGAAAAGAUGCUUUUUUAAUAUUAUUAAAAGGUCUUAAUAAUUUUAUUUUAACAAAUUAAAAAUUAAAUGAGAAUAAAAUAAUCUAAAAUAAAAAUAAAUAAAUCAAAUCAAAUCUCAUUUACCGGCAUAUGAAACAUUAAAACACACACGCAUGCACAAGGAUAUACUCCCACGUAAGAAUAUGUGCUUCACGUUCAAGUGACAGGUAUGGUAAAAUUGAAAAACCAUUGAAUGUCUUCAAGGAACCGGGGAUCAUGGGAUCUUGUCUGUUUUGGUAUAUUUUUCCCAGAGAUCGAAUGUGUGAGCCGUUGCCAGCAUGUCGAAUAAAUUUGAAUAAUAAAUUAAAAUAUAACAUAGUUAUCCACAUCUUAAAUAAACAGGCUAAGCUAGCGUGAAAAAACUUUAACAGCCAAUUAAAUUGAGAAAAUUAAAAAAAAAUAACUAAAAAAACUAAACCAAGAAAAAAAAACGACCAAUUAAAAAAUCAUAAAAAAAUUCUAAUUCGGUUUGGUUUCGAUUUUUAAAGUCUAAAAUUGAUUAAACUGAACAAGUUCAACCAAAUCAAUACUCAAAAAUAAAAAUAAAAAUAAAUAGGAUAUUUUUUUCUAAUCAUAAACCUAAAUUAGUAUUCCUUAAAAUAAAAUCAGUCGCCCCCUCCUUUGUCCUCUGUGUCUCUCUUCUCUUAUAUUUUCCUCUAUGCUCAACAAAUGUUAAGCUCCGUGCUCAUUAAUCAUCUUAAUCAAAGGCAGUUGCCUCCUUGACUGAUCAAUCAUACGAGAAUGACAGAUUUGGGGUUGCACAACUCACUGGUAGCAAUGUUACUGUUCUCUCAACAUUUAUCUAUAAAACGAGGCAAUCCUCUACAUGUAUAAGCUUAUGCCAUGGCUGAUGUGUUAAGUAACUCAAUCUAUGGUAUUGUGUCUGCUUUCACGAUAAUAUGCUCCCGUGCAUCAAAGCAGGUCUUUUGAGAAGGAUUGGGUCACUAAAAGCAAAUCCCUUUUGAAACUUAUGGGCUGCGUAUAUAGAAGCUGCGUCAUUUCUUGAAUUUUCAAGCUAGAGAAUUGAAUUGGUUUGGAAUGAAAAAAACUCGAAUCGAACUUGAUUGGUUCAAAUUAAUUUUUGAUUUGGUUUGGUUUAAAAAUUUGAAAAGAAAUAAUUUUAAUUUAGUUAUUUAUUUUGUUUUAAAACCAGACAAAACUGAAAAUGCUCUAACAAAUGUCACAGGGCAGGAUGGAUUUUUAUAUCAAGAAGCUCAGAACGCCAUGUUAUCCAGAAUAGAAAUGUUUAAGAUGUAGAAUUUGAUUAUUGAUAAAUUGCCUCCCAUAUUACCACUUAAGUUGGAAAAACAUCCUUCGUGACAUCAUGGCAUGUAUCAUCUGGCGACCCAAAACACAUACAUGUCUACGUUAAUAAAGGUAUAUAGCCACAAUUCUUUCGGCAAUCUCCUCAAAUGCCUGAAUUACCUUCACUUGUAGUUAAAGAACGACUAAAGUUGAGCAUUAUAAAUUAACCAUAAUACCUUCUGAACUUGAAGCAUUUUAACGAAAAAUAAAGCUUCCAGCCUUCAACAAUCUUACAACCAUCUCUACUCUCUACAUCUCUAAAUCCUAAUGGUUAAAAACAUUUUUACACGCAAAGGAACCAGGCACAGCAUCCACAGACAUGUCAGACAAGCACACAGGUAUCCCCUUACAUGAUCCUCGGGUCAGGAAAAAAGAAGGCCAGUCAGACAAUCACUGAUCAGACAGGAGUGACAUGGCUCGAGUAAAAUCUAAGGAUUUGAGAGCAUGCUCAGGGAAGCGUGUUCCAUUUGGUAAAAUCAACCCACCUUCAUGAGGAAGGAUGACGUUUUGCUGGUUAACACCACCUUCAUCAGCUUUUGUUGAUGAAACUUCCUUCAUUUGCUUCACAUGUUUAAAGAACUCAGCAACUUGGCGCGCAUAGCUUCACAAAGGAAAUUGUUAAACAAAUUAGUUCAGCAGCACAUGGGGCUUUAUGGAUCGAAAAACGUAUAACAAUUUUCAGCACAGUACUGAUAACCCUUCAUUCAGGAAACAAGAGUAGUUUGAUUUUCCUCACGGAUUGCAGAAUACAUCCAAGUUGGAGGUACAUCCUACACUUUUCAUAUGGGCUACAGACCAGGAGGUAACAGUAUAAUUAUAAUUAUAACUAUAUUUAUAGACUUCUCGUCAAUAUUCUACCCAUGAAAAAUCAACAUGUCUUCAUUUUUUUGUAUGCAUGCACAAGAGUGUGUGUUAGCUGUAGAGUGCAAUGUUAAGUGCUCUUCUUGCUUGUACUAUAUUUUUGAAGACUCGACAUAUGAGAAAGAAGAUUUUCAGUGAACUUACAAUUUUGGGAUCCAUGCUUGUGCAACAACUAAUUAGGAAGAUAAAAGCUAAUACAGCCAGCUUCAAAAAGAUUUGGCCAAGAAACUGAAAUUGAGUGUAUGGGAAGACUUGUGUAGGUGUGUUUGCUGUAUUCUAACAGAGAAGGAAGAAUUGUUAACACUUAGUAGUGGUAAGCCACAAUUUGCAGUUGUCUGGGGUUUCUUAAUUGGAGCUCAACUCUAUUUUCACAGCAACUUUGCAGGAAUUCAUUAUUGUUCCCAUAUUGCAUGAUGCCCAUUCUAAGGGUUUUUUUGACAUUUCCCACAUUAGAGGGGAUGGCUAUUCUCCUUGUUUUAAUUCAUCAUCAUUCCUUCUAAUAAAUACUCUAUCUAAAACAUCAUAUGUAUAAUGGUGAGUGUGACAGUUGUAAAAUAAGAUAAAAUCCAUAUUUCUCUGCUCAUAAGAUAAGACAUUUAAGUGAUUGCUAUCUUACUUCUCCUUAGCUUCAACAUCCCUGCUAAAAUCAAUGUUGGCUUCGCAAUCAAGAAUCAAAGCAGGGACCUGCUCAGAACAAAAGCUUUUUUAAGCCAGGGUUUCUUUUAAAUCAUAUGAAUCUCAAAGGAAAGGAUAAGCUUUUGAUACCUUUUGAAUACUUGAAUGCAUAUGAUCGCCUUCCAAAUAAAACACCCUGUCUUUUAUAUCCGGAUGUAGUGAAUUAUCCAGAUUUAGUGGAAGCUUACUCACAGAAAGUACUCCAUGAUUACCACUUUCAAAUGGGAAAAGCCAGCUCUCAUGUUUCUCAUGCAGAUCACAAAGAUAAUCUAGGCUGACUCCCCCUUCUUCUGUCCUUUUCCUAUGCAUCAUUCUCUUGUGACAAGUAUCAGGGCUUGCCCUAAGGUAGAUGAAAGCAUCAGGAAUAAGCCCUGGCAAAACUGAGACAACUGGAUCAAACCAUGAGUCGUAAAUGCUGAUCUCCAUUUCAUUCAUCCACUUUGCCUCAUGCACAGCUCGUACAAAGACCUUUAUCAAGUAAAAGUGAGAAUCAAAUGCAUCAGCCUUCAAAAACUUAAAUCAGGGUUUUGUUCCUCUCGCAUGGGAUCAACCAAAUGAGAAAGAGCUACAAGGUUUUAAAUCAUGUCUGAUCAUGCUCAAACUUAAGCAAAAAUCCAAAGUCCUUUAAUCAGAUCACUAGUGAUGUCAAAAAGAAGCGUAAAAAUGAAAAACAUUAGUCUAUAACUAUUUGCCAACUUUAAAACUGUGAUUUAAAGGAUGCUUACCAUUCUGUCACUGAAAACACUUCUUUCCAUCAACCUGAGUGGCUUCAACCCACCAGAUGAUUCUCUUUCCUGCAUAACCCUUGUGACAAAAACAUAAUUCUGGAAGGUAUAAGCAUACCUUGAUGGGUCAGCAUAGAAAGCAUCAAGUAUAUUAAAGUGGUCAGGCCCAACAUCCUGCCACUUAUCAAUGGGUUCAGGCACCACCUCAACAAGAUCUCGCAGCUCAAUUGUAUCACUAACUAUUCUCUUAAGAAAUGUUGUCUUUCCAACACUGAUAUUUCCCUCGACACAAAAUGUGAGUCGCUUCUUAGGUUUGGUCCUUGCAUCUGGAUUUAAAACCUUUAACUCUUCAUCCACACUCUCUUUGAUGAAAGUAGUUAUACUCUCAGCAUGAUUUUUGUGAAUAAUUCCCACAGAACUCUGUAAAUACUCAACCAUUGUCUCACUGGAUUUUCCAAGAAACUACAACAGGAGAACCAGAAUUCAUGUUAGUACUUAGUAUACAAAAAACAGGGGGGAGAAAAAGGAAACAGUAUAUCCAACCACCCUAUGAAAUUUCCUCCAUUCACAUCAAACAUAGAAUUAAACCUUCUCUGUAGAGCUAUUUAUUGGGAUCCAUGAUUAUGGAGUUUUGGGCAUUAGCCAAUUUGGAUACAACAGGCAUAAGAGAUCACCUUUAAUAUUAAAUUGCAGUUUGCAGUGGUUAGUAUAUAGCAAACAGGAUUUCCUCUGUUCUCAUCAAAACAUGACAGUGAAAUUUAUUCUCUUAAGUUGUUUGUUCAACUCCAUAGCUGUUAAAUUAGGGCAUGUUUCUGAUGAAUCUUUCACUCCUAUAGUUACAAAAUUCUAAAACUACUGGUACUCAGCAAGAUCAGCACCCAAAGUAGUUGGUUUGCAUCAACAAAACCAAGACCCCAUUCCAACUUUCCUCAAUCUAACCUAAAGCCCACCGAACAAACACUUAAAACACAACAAACAAACCGCAAAUUGAAAACCCCCCAAAAAAUAGUUACAAAACAAACACAUUUUUACACGAUAACACCAAAAUCUACAACUCAAAAAAAAAAUACCAUUACCUUAUCCUUAUAAAACUGCUUAAGCUCAGCCAUUCCUGUAAACCCUUUCUCCACCAAUUUUCUCAAAUUCUUUGGCCCUACACCAGGAAUUGUCAGCAAAUCAGCAUUCCCCUCCAUAUCACCACCCGUCCUCUUCUGCCUCCUACUCAACCUCGCCGCCCUUUCUUCCGCCCCCUUUUCACCUUUUCCUUCCUCUUCUCCAUCACCACUACUCCUCACACCUUCAGCAUCCGCCGCGGCCACAGCAGUCCCAAAAGGCCCUUCCUGCCCACUAGCCACCGUGCAAUGCCACGCCGGCCGUGCCACCACCCAUGCCCUUAAUGGGUUAGUUGUUUUAUACCCAACAGCGCUACGACAAGUACAGUAGGUAGUCGAAUAGAAGCGAGAGGUCAGUGUGGGUGUGAUAGUGAGUUUCUUGGCUACAAAGGCAGCUAAAAAGGAAGUACUGGUGCAGAAAUUAGUAGCAGUUGGCAUUGAAAAAGAAGGGUAGGGUUUGUUUUUGAAGAGAAAAAAACUAGUAGAAACAGGAGUGCAGAGGAGGAGGGGGCUUGAAGGGUAUCUUUGUAGCAACUUCUGCAUCCCUCCUCCUAACAAGCAUUUCAGUUCACAGGGAAGAACUUCCUCCUAUGUCAUAAUAAAUUUGUGAAGGGAAGACGAGGAGUCAGGGGAGGCGGGAAGGUGUGCUAGUGAGUGUUAUUUUAGAUAAGAAAAAAAAAAUUGUUGUUGUUUACACUUUACAGGGGUUUUGACUUUAGGGUUUUUCGGUUUUGACUUUAAAGAUUUAGCCUUUAUUUGGGAGUGGGUUUAAAUAGAGAUUGAUAAACAUUUAUUUUAUUUUUUAAAAUUAAAUUUUUUAUAUUAUUUUAAUAUAUAAAUGUAAAAAAUAAAUUUUAAUAUAUAUAAAAAUAAUUUUAAUAAAUUUCUAAAAAUAUAUAUUUUAAAAUAUAAUUUCUAUUUUAUUCUUAAACACCCUAUAAAAAGUAAAAACAGGGAUUUCAAGGUUUAUUUGGCAUUGGGUUUUUUUUUUUAUUUCGUUUUGGUAUUUAUGAUUUAGGUAAAAAUUUUAAGUUAAUUUUAAAUAUAAUAAAAGAAUGUGUUAAUGUUAUGGAUGUAUUUUAAAAUAUUAUAACUUUUUUAUUUUAAAAACAUAAACAUAUUAUUUAUGUUAAUAUGUCGUUUAUGUUGCUAUAAAAUUUCAAGUUAAUUUUUAGGAUAAAAAAAUAUUUUAUAAAUAAUUUUUAAAAAAUAAAAAAUAAAAGCAUAUUGUUUAUACUUCAUAAAAUAAACUAAGAAAUAUAUAAAUUAAUAAAUAAAUAAAAUUAUUAAUACUAAUUAAAUAAUAAAACGGCAAGCUAAUCUUCAUAUUAGAAAUAAAAUACAAAUGUGCUUAUAAAUAUUUUACAUUGAUUAUCUUUUUAUUUUAAAUAUUUUUAUUCAGUGAAAUAUUAAUAAUAUAUAAAUAAUUUUUUGUUCUUAUAAAAUCUUCUUAUAAAUAUAGCUAAUUCAUAUAAAUAUUUAAAAUAAAAAAUGAUACAAAUAAAACUAAUAUCUUAAUAGUAUCAUGCAACUAAAAAAAUAUAAAAAGAUAAAUAACUAUUUUAAAGACAAAGCUAAUUCGUUUAAGAAAUAAGAGAGAAAACAUAAAUGAAUAUUUGAAAAGAAAAAAUUAAUGAAAAAAGGUAAAAGAAAAGUUAGGCGUUGAUGGGCCACCUGAAUAUAGUAAUAUACCCUAGAUUGUUUUUUUAAAAAAAAAAAAAAAACUAGACGCGCUCGGUCCAAGAAAUCUAGCCCCACGCCUGAAUUUUUUUUUAUCAAGAGGGGAUGACACGUAAUAGUUUUCUCUUUCUUUCUAGCAAAUAGGAAUACGGAUAGUGUGAAUGACAGAUUUUUUCCUUUAAAACAUGGGAAGAUUAUUCUGGGCAGCGGAUCGCACCAUAUUAUUAUUAUUAUUAUUAUUAUUAUUAUUAUUAUCAUCUGUUAUGAAUAAGAUUGCACUAUGUUAUUAGAAGAUUCUAUCUCUGAGUGUCCGGGAUUGAUCAGAAACAAAGUUUUAUAUUAUAGUAAGAUUAAUUAAAGUGAGAGGAACAUAAUAUAAAACACACAAAAAUAUGUGAUGAAUCUCAAAGCUUUUAGAAUUUUUAUUUUAAUUUAAAAUUUAAUGGUAUUUAUUUUUUUACUUCUUAAAUUUAAAAGAGAAGGGAGAAAAUUAUAUAUUGAUCACAUUUUAGCAACAACAAUGACCCUUAAUGUUAAAGUGUUUCAUUCAAUAAAAAUAGUUUGAUGUUUGAUGGUGGUGUAUAUCUUCUACAAGUACAUUUAAAAAAGUAGAUUGGAAUUUGUUAAGAAUUUUUUUUAUUCAAUUGAUUUUUGUUUUAUUUGAGUGAUUUUGAAGUAUUUUAAGGUUGAUAGGUGAUUUUAUGAAUGUUUUGUGAUAUUUUAAGGUGUUUUGGGUGAAAAUUGAUGAAAAAUAAAUUUUUAGGUUAACCCCUCAAGCAUUCAACCACAACAGUGGUGACUGGAUUUUAUACAGCAGCAUAGUAGGCGAUACAUCUCCUCCCAUUACAGACAACCUGUCACCUAAUUAAAAAUAAAAAAUGAGACAUCCUGAGAAAAAAAAAAUCAGGUGCAGGCCUCGACUUGUAGGCCUUGUCGCACCUAGGUUAUUUUUUGUGGUUUAUUUUAAAUUACAUUUAUUUCUUUAAAAAAACUAAUUAAUUUAAAAUAUUAUAAAUAUAUAGAUCUAUUAAAUUCUUAAAUUAGUUAAGAAUAUAUUUUAAAUAUUAUUUUAUAAAAUACAAUUCAAUUCAUAUUUUAUUUUUAAAUAAGAAUAUGAUAAUCCUUUUCUGAUAAUAGGUUUUUUUGUCUCACAGCCAUUAUUAUGCUUUUUUUUUAAAGUAUCCAUUUGCCUUUUAUUAUAGCAUAUAUUUUUAUAUUCAUAUAAUUAAAUAAAAAUAAUUUAAAAAACAUGAUGUUAUGAAAUCAAGGUGGUUCUAUGACUCUAGUUAUAAGUUUAAUAAGUUAAUUUGGAUUCGAUUGAGCUAUCAAAGAUGAUUUUGUAUUGAUUUUUUAAAAUAAAUUUACUAUUUAUAUUAAAUUUUAAGAUCAUAAUAAAAAUUUUUACUUCCAAAUAGAACAAAAAUUAGAGAAUGAAAUGACAUGUAAGGAAGAAAAAGAAAGAUCAAGAUAAUAUAGCAUCAAAUAAUGAAAUAUCACACAAAUGAGAAAAAUAAUAAAUGUGGAUUCAAGCAAAAUAAGAAAAUUAUAGAAAGAGAUCCCGUACAGUCAAGAAAAACAAAUAAGUUAAUUUUUUACCAUAAAUUUCUAAAUUAGAUCCUCAUUUAACAAUGAAAGAAUAUAAAAAUGUUUUAAUAGUUGUUGUUCCAGUUUCGAUAGGGAUGUAACACUAUAAAUUAGGGUCUAGGAUAUAUAUACAAUGAGAACAUUAAAAAAAAACCCUUACAUACAUAAAAAAAAAAUCAGAAAAUCCUUGAGAAACAUAGAAAAAGAGAUAGAAAAAUAUUUAUGUUUGGUCAAUGUUCUAGAAUAAAAGAGACAAAAAAUAAAAUAAAAUAAAAAUAUAUUUAAUUAAAAAGAAAAAAACAAAAAUAUAAAAUAAAUCUAUCUUAGAAAUAAUUUUAGAAUAUUUCUAUACUCUUAAAAUAAAUUUACCCCGUCAUUAAAAUCAAUCAACCAUCUCUAUUCUGGUGUUCGUUUUGAUUUUUCUAGCCAGAUCAAACCUCGAAAUAAGCCAGAAAUCACAGCCUGUUUCCAUCCAAAAUCAAGUUUUGUUUUGUUUUGUUUUUUUUUUUUUUGCGGGUCUACUAAUGACGCAUGGACUAUACGUGCCUAGAACUGCAUGACUCAGUUCCAACAAAUUUUGGCCGAUUCCAGGAGCCCCGGAAGGUUGUUUUUUAACCCCAAAUCAUUGUUUGUUUAUUUUAAAUAAUUUUUAUUGUAUUAUUAAUUUUUAUGUCAAUUAGGAUGAAAUAUUAAAAGUGUUACUGUUGCAUGGCAAGCAUAAAUCCGCUAAGCUUAGUUAUCUAAGAAGACAUAAAACCAUGAGGGAUUUAGUUUUCGAGAUGGAAUAAGAUUAGUGAUUUAUUCAAACGUGUGGGUUGGGAGGAUGAAAAUAAAAUUUUAUGUAAAAUACCCUUGCUUUUUUAUGUUUGGUAUGAUUUGUAUUUUUUCCCCGUCUCUCAAUAUCAAAUUAUAAAUUAUAAAUUCUAAUUAGAUUUUUUCUUGAUGCUAUAUUAAGGAUAAAUAAAUUAUUUUAUGUAAAUAUUGAUAUCAAAUGUGUAUUUUCAUACUUUUUGUCUCUUUUUGUCUUAAAUGUGUAUUGUUUGGAUAUCUAUAUUAAUAAUAAAAAAAAAAAACAUCACAUAUCUUGUUUUCAUAUGAAUCAAUGUAAUAAGAAAAUUGAACAAAUUCAAACUUGAGAUUUAUUGUUGGAAAUGCAAAAACAAAUAAUUACAAUAUCACUUUAACUUGAACCUUCUCCUCCAAUAUCUAUUGCUCCUCUUUAACAUGACUGCUUCCUUUUCCUUUCGCAAUCCCUUUAACCAUUUUUCAGAUUUUUCAAAGGAUCAAGUUUCGAAUGCCUUUUGGUCUCUAGCCUUUUUAUUUGGAUUUGAGGUUGAACAGCUUCAUGACUUCUACUCCUUUUCUCAACUCGAAGCUCUCUUCUUCCCAACUUGAAAUUCAGCAUGUUAUACCUUCUCUGUUGUUCUCAGCAGGUUUUGGAAACAUGGCGAUGCAGAAAGAUGGUUUCCUCACCUGGUAGCAAUAUUUUGCUCAUCAAAAGCACUAAUCUCAGAGUCUUCCAUGGUAGAUUUGAGAGUUUUAUUCUUACAAACCUCAUUCCAACCCCAACUUUAUCAAUAAGCUAUUCUCCAUUUCAAUUGUUAUAUCAGAUCCAGUCAUUCUCAGUUGAAUUAUAAGAGGUUUUUGUACUUGAAUUGUCAAUAGAAACAGAAGAUCUGCUGGAACUUUUAGCCUUUGCCUCUGGAACUUCAAUUUUAGCACCCACAUCGCCAUCCGAGAAAUAGCUACUUUUUCUUUAAAUUCAAUGAAACGGCAGCCAUGGCUAAUAUCUUGCUUCACAUCAUUAGCAGGAUAAUUUAGAGCUGUAUAAUCUACAAUAGGAUUGUUCUUAGCUCCAGCCUCUACUUUCGCAGCUUCAAGAGAACGAGAACUACUAUUUCCAGUGAACAUAUCAUCUGCAAAAACAUAUUAUUGUUAGUUAAGAUCAUCACCAAAAGCUUGGAAAAUAUAAUUUGCAAGAACAUACUAUUGUUAGAGUGGUCAAAUUUUUAUUUUAAUUUGGUAACCCAAUAUAUUUUAAUAGUUUUGAAGGAAUAUAAUUUAAGUAUUCAAGAUAAAAAAUUCAAGACUCAUGAAGGCAUUUUAGGAAUAUUUUCUUGAUGAACUUCAAAACACUUAAUUAAAAAUACAAUAUUUAGCUUACCAUCUGAUUUGCUAUUAAAUGUUUUAAUUAUCUCCAAUAUCCCAAACUUAUAAAACUAUACAAUUUAUUAAAUGUUUCAAUUAUCUCCAAUAUCCCAAACUUACAAAACUAUACUAUUUUG
RNAcentral lists this long non-coding RNA (19920 nucleotides) under Populus tremula. Its description in RNAcentral is "long non-coding RNA (PTRE_LNC000804)". Lineage: Eukaryota; Viridiplantae; Streptophyta; Magnoliopsida; Malpighiales; Salicaceae. The record is from RNAcentral.